GUGGGGAAUCUUGCGCAAUGGGCGAAAGCCUGACGCAGCCAUGCCGCGUGAAUGAUGAAGGUCUUAGGAUUGUAAAAUUCUUUCACCGGGGACGAUAAUGACGGUACCCGGAGAAGAAGCCCCGGCUAACUUCGUGCCAGCAGCCGCGGUAAUACGAAGGGGGCUAGCGUUGCUCGGAAUUACUGGGCGUAAAGGGCGCGUAGGCGGACAGUUUAGUCAGAGGUGAAAUCCCGGGGCUCAACCCCGGAACUGCCUUUGAUACUGGGUGUCUGGAGUAUGGAAGAGGUAAGUGGAAUUCCGAGUGUAGAGGUGAAAUUCGUAGAUAUUCGGAGGAACACCAGUGGCGAAGGCGGCUUACUGGUCCAUUACUGACGCUGAGGUGCGAAAGCGUGGGGAGCAAACAGGAUUAGAAACCCUGGUAGUCC
This 425-nucleotide ribosomal RNA is filed under the name uncultured bacterium. RNAcentral's name for it is "partial 16S ribosomal RNA". It matches the Rfam family "Bacterial small subunit ribosomal RNA", at positions 354 to 796 of the family's 1533-position model. The record is from RNAcentral.